GAUGAACGCUAGCUACAGGCUUAACACAUGCAAGUCGAGGGGAAACGACAUCGAAAGCUUGCUUUUGAUGGGCGUCGACCGGCGCACGGGUGAGUAACGCGUAUCCAACCUGCCCAUCACUUGGGAAUAACCUUGCGAAAGUAAGACUAAUACCCAAUGACAUCCCACGAAGACAUCUGAAUGGGAUUAAAGAUUUAUCGGUGAUGGAUGGGGAUGCGUCUGAUUAGCUUGUUGGCGGGGUAACGGCCCACCAAGGCAACGAUCAGUAGGGGUUCUGAGAGGAAGGUCCCCCACAUUGGAACUGAGACACGGUCCAAACUCCUACGGGAGGCAGCAGUGAGGAAUAUUGAUCAAUGGGCGAGGGCCUGAACCAGCCAAGUAGCGUGCAGGAUGACGGCCCUAUGGGUUGUAAACUGCUUUUAUAAGGGAAUAAAGUGGGUCUCGUGAGACUUUUUGCAUGUACCUUAUGAAUAAGGACCGGCUAAUUCCGUG
This 492-nucleotide ribosomal RNA is filed under the name uncultured bacterium. Its description in RNAcentral is "partial 16S ribosomal RNA". It matches the Rfam family "Bacterial small subunit ribosomal RNA", at positions 28 to 507 of the family's 1533-position model. The record is from RNAcentral.